UACGGAGGGUGCGAACGUUGUUCGGAAUCACUGGGCGUAAAGCGCGCGUAGGCGGCACGUCAAGUCAGAUGUGAAAGCCCAUGGCUCAACCAUGGAAGUGCAUUUGAAACUGUCGAGCUAGAAUACGGGAGAGGGUUGUAGAAUUCCUGGUGUAGAGGUGAAAUUCGUAGAUAUCAGGAGGAAUACCAGUGGCGAAGGCGGCAACCUGGACCGAUAUUGACGCUGAGGUGCGAAAGCGUGGGGAGCAAACAGG
This 253-nucleotide ribosomal RNA is filed under the name uncultured bacterium. RNAcentral describes it as "partial 16S ribosomal RNA". It matches the Rfam family "Bacterial small subunit ribosomal RNA", at positions 524 to 776 of the family's 1533-position model. The record is from RNAcentral.